AACCCGCAGCGUACAUUUCAGUCAUAUUGUGAAACUAGUCAUCUCUUCAAAGGACCAAACUUUCCAAUUAUUUCAGAUAGUUCUCACAGCUAGGAAAAUAAAUUCUAGCUCUAUGAAAUGUUGUGUUAUUUAUACAUGCUUUUAAAAAUAAAGAAGUGAUCUAUAAGUAAAUGCAACUGAAAUAAUUUUAUGUCUCUUAAUCAAAAAAAAAACAAGUAUCACACAUUUCACAUAAUGUGUGACUAUUAUUUUCAGCUGUUCUGAGGGGUGACUUGUUUCACAAUAUGACGGUAAUGGAAUCAAUAGAAUAAUGUUCCCGUAUGAUUUCUUAUGAGGAUGGGGUUUGGUUUUGGUUUGCUUUUAAACUUUAUAAAUAGUGAAAUAAAUACAUGUCAGGUAUUUUCACAUUUUUGAGAAUACUCCAUUGCCACCAAAACCAGGAGGUAAAAAAGUAAAAAAACCUCAAUACAGACUUAACAUCCUCAACCUUGUUUUGGCUUCACGUUCCUUGAUUUUGCUUUCUUCUUUGCUUAUUUAGAUCUUCAGUUUUCCACUCAAGUAUUUUCUGGCUUUGUGAGUCAAACAUAAAAUAUCAUUUUAAUGGCAACAGGUGUUAGAGCUGAUAAGGUCAUCCUUUGUCCUUCAGUGUUGUUCUGUUCCAAGUUUCCAGUACGCAUUUAUCAUGUGUGUUGUGCAGGAGUUCAGCUGUGUGUGUAGGGGGGAUAAUCCAUUCAGCAGAAAUAGAAUAUAGACUAAUUACAUAUAGACUGUAAUUUCCUGAAUCCCCUGUAGAUCUAGAUACCUGUAGCAGAGCAGAACAUAGCUGCUUAUGAUGGGGAGGAAAAAAGGACAAAAUAAUACACUCUGCAUUCAGUAGUAGUUAUACUUCCAUGCCUGCCUUCAGAGGAUGUGGCAUCUGGCUGUUUCCUCUCUCUUUUGCCAGAAGCACUUGAAGCAUUUUAUGUCACACUUACUUCUUCCAUCAUAGAAACCUCUGAUUGCAUCCUCACUCCAGAAUCUUUUAAGCUGGUAAGGGAGCGUCAAUCAUCAUUCAUACCUUUACAAUCUUAUUUAAGUGGAAGAGCAAUGUCCUUGGAAAUUGCAGCAUUUUUUCAGUGCUCAGCUCAGGAAGGGGCAUCAGAAUUUCAUAGUUUCCUUUUUAAUCUUGGUUACGUUUUCCUUAAUGCUGUACAAAAAUUCCUCUCACUCAUUAUGUUCAGUCAUAAAGUAUGUAGUAUAGAUGACAUUUCAGUUAGGGAAGGACAUGUUGGAGCAUUAUGGUUGAUUCAGGUGAGUAAUAAUGCUACAUACAAUUUGAGUGUCUUUUCUCAUGGGUGAGGGAAGAGCUUUUGGCUUCUUAUGUCUUGUUCUUUUAGUUAAAAAAAAAAAAGUUAAUUCCCAAAGCCAUAACAAGAAUUAUAACAGAGGUUUGCUGCUGCCCUGGUAUGGGCACUUAUCCCUGUUUGCAGUGGGUGUAACAGGCUGUUUCACUGUUGGUGAAGAGUUUGGAAUCAGCAGCAUUUCUGCAGGCACUUUGUGCUUGGUCAGGACAGGUGUGGCUGUAAAUACAGGCAGGCAGGGAAGGGCAAAGCUGGCUGAGAAUUUUAGUCUAAGGUAAGGCUCCUUUCCCCACAGCACACCAUUUGUCACUUAGGAAGCAGUUAAAGGCUAAAGUGGGAAUGAAAAGUAAUAUUCCAAAACAAAUACCUGGAGGCGAAAAUAAAGAAGAGUGUAUGUCAUUCUUACUGUGUCAGGAAGGUAAUCACAGCCAUAAUUUUGUUUUCUAAAAAUGGGUUUAAAGGGUGCCACCUUUGCAUUAGGCAAUUCCCUGAAUGAUCAGUUUGAAUCUAUUUUGCACCUCUGCAAUGAGGCAAAAUAUUGUUCCUCUUGUAUGUAGAAAGCAUAACUGUUCCAGUACACAACAAAUUUAACUAGUUCUGCACGCCUCUUCAGGAAACUUUGAUGUAGCAUAAGGAAGAUAGCACAGGUUAUGUAUAGUUCUUUCAGUGAGCUCUGAAAAAUGCUUGCUGGUCUUGUGAUAAUGCUGCUGUAAAGAAAUGUGUUGUAUUUGUUAUUUCUUGUGGCAUGACUGUCACACAGGUCAUGUCUGUGCAGGCGCAUAUCCUGUUGCAUCCCCUUGUGGGUAGCAAAUGCUUUGAAGAAGAGGGGAGAGUUGUGUUUUCCUUUGCCAACCUCUUGUUCCUUGCUCUUACCUGACAUCCAUCAAAACCAUUUGCAAACUCAGCUAUUAGCUGAUGGUCACCCAAGUUUUUAAUGGGUGCAGAAGCCGUCUGUAGUUACGUUGUUGCAUUAUCUGCUACCACCACCAUCUAUAUCCACAGUGACCCUUAUAGAAGAAUGGUUACUUUCUCCACAAAAAUAUUUGUAUCUUUUGCACUUGGUUAUUGUGUGUGUGUGCAUUUGUCUUUAUAGUACUGCAGGAAUGUUUGUGUUCCACUUCACAGAUUGCUGGAUCUCCAUCUACUCUGUUUUAUUUCAGUUUUGCUUAGAGACUCUCCUUCAUCUUCUGCGUAUAGUAAUAGUGGCCUUCUGCUUUAUAGAGUAUACCUGGAAGUAAGCAGCAGUUUUCAAUAAAGCCUCCCAGUUUACCUCAUUCUUUUCAUUAUUAGCACAAUGUGAAUGCAUCAUAGCCCGGUGAAUACAUAUAUGUUGAUUUUAAGUCAGCUUUUCUUUCACAAGAUAGUUGCAUUAACCCUUAAUGAUUUCUAAAAAAAUGCCUGUUAAUGGAACUAUAAUGUGGCCUUUGGCAACCAAUGCUAAAAGGUUUCUGCAGGCUGAGACCAAAUAUGCUUCAAAUAUGAAUGGGAACAAAUUCAGAGAUGAGGUGUGGCAUUAUAAGAUGCCUGCAGUGAAACCUGUCAUUGUUUCUGAUUGUAAAUUAAUGGAGAAUCCUGCACAGUAGGAGUCAUCAUGUGGGUGUAGCAGUGCUGCUGUGGCAGCGAAUUACGGUUCUGAAAAACUGUAAUGUUACAUCAAGAGGAUCAUUACAGCUGAGCAAGCCAACCAAAAUGCCCUGAACGAAUGAAACUGCGUGUUUAACAGCACUCUGUCAGUCAGUGCUGCAUAACUACUUCAUGGCUUCAGUCUGGAAAGUCAUCUUAGAGGACCAAGGAAUUAGACAGAGAAGUAGCGUAAGAGAAAGACUUGCUUUGGAAUCCAGAGGUUCACUGUAGGAACUGUUUGUUUGGGGCUUUUUUCAUGUUUAUACAGAAGUGACUGAUUGAAACUAAAUUGUAUUAAUAUACAAUUUAGUAUAUCAAUUUCUAUCUGUAAGCACAUAUAAAUAUGUCUAUAGAUAGAAGGCCUAAAAAAUACAAAAUGUUUUGUGAGACCUGUUCAGUUUAGCAGAUAAAUGUCAAGUAAUAUUUUGUCUUUCUUCAUGCAUUUUUAGCAUUGUUUUAACAUGUUGGCAUUGUGUUUUUUUUUCCUGUGGGAAACAAAAUGUAGGCUUUCUGGGCUUGUGAAUUUUAUACUGCUAGAAUCAGAAAUCUCUCUUGAAUCUGUCUUCCCAUAACAGAUUAGAAUAGCAGUCUCCCUGAUCUCUUGGGGCUUAUAAUUAUGAUUUUUUUGAAGUCUUCACUGAGCUAAUAUUUGAGGCAAUACAGAAUUUAGAAAUGCGGCCCAUCAGCAGUUUGCUGUAUUCUAGUUUCUCCAUGAACAAUAUUAAGGAAGUAUGAAGUUUAAUAAAAUACAUCAAGGCUUUAUUCAACUGUAUAUUGCUGCUGCAAAAAAAAUUACAAGUAUUUUGAAGAAAAUUAAAGAUUAUAAUCCUAUUACCAUGGAAUAAAAUAGUCUUAAAAAUCAUAACCAAGAUCUAAUUAUGAAUGCCAAUAUAUAAAAUUAAGGAGGUGGUAAGAUGCAGGUUUUUAAUGCAUCCUUUUUAGGGGGUUUGCCAUGCAAAAAGUACAAAGCGAAAGGCAGCAUUCGAAGAUGCAAGGCAGAGUCUCCCCAAGAUCUCCUUUGUUCUCCAACACCUCUCCAAGGCUCUUGCAUGCUCUGCUGAGACAGGCUGAUCUGUGUCUGCUUCAUAGAGGAAGCUGUUUUGGAAGUGAGAUGUUAAAAGGAAGUAGUUCUCAGCUGCUGCUUUUGGCAAGGAGGAAGCCCUGUUAAUAGGAGAAAUGAUGAAAGGAAAAGACUUAAGGUCACAAAGGUUAAGUAUGAAUUAAUGGAUAGAAUGAAUCAGGGUGGGAAAGGAAAAGCGAGUAUUAGUUGCUACCUCAUUCCCCCAACUACUUAAGAUUUUCGGCUCCCUGGUUGUGUUUACGUGGGUUUGACCACUGUUACAUAGAGACGAAAAACAGAGAUACAGAUUUUCCAGUUAGUGCCUGUCUAAGAAAUAACCUGCUUUUUAAUUGUGUCUCCAUUUCUUCUAUCUUGCUGUCCUGAAUCUGCCAGCCUUUACCACCUCCUUUGUAAAUUAUGCCCUUAUAUCAGGCAAAAAAAUUUAAUCUGUUCUAUAGUUCAUGGUUUGAUACAGAUACAAGUUUACACUAAUGCUGCAGAGACAUUUUUCAGCCUGUGGUAGAUGCACCUGUUCUGUCCAUCCCAUCAUUGUACAAGACAUAUUAAAUCAGAGCAUGUUCUUUAAAAAACACUUUUGUGUUUCUUCUUGAAGAUUUAUGUUAAUCUGGUACAUAAGUAAAAUGAAAAAAGAUCACCUCCUCCAAGCUCAGAAGCAAUGCAUCCAAAUGACGAAGAAGUCAGGCAGAAAUGACAGGAGGCGUGUGUGGAUGAACAAGUAGCAUCUGGACAAACUCCAACAUAAAAAGGAAGUCUACAGAGGGGACUUCAGCCAGGGAUCAAGUUAGGAAAGCUAAAGCCCUGACAGGAUUAAAUCUGGCCAGGGAUUUUAAGGGCAACAAAAAAAGCUUCUAUUAAGUACAUCAGGGAUAAAAGGAAGACUAGGGAAAAUGGGGGCUCUCUCUGGAAGGAAACAGGAGACCUGGUAACCUGGGAUAUUGAGAAGGCUGAACUGCUCAAUGAUUAUUUUUCCUCAGUCUUCACCCCACAGGUCACAGAAAGCAAGGGCUGGGACUGGGAGAGUAAAGAACCCCCUGAUCUGAGAAGAUCAGCUUUUUGACCAUCCAAGUAACUUGAAGGUGUACAAGUCCACGGGACAUGAUGGAUGCAUGUGUGAGUCCUGAGGGAACUAGAGGAUGAAGUGGCUAUGCUGCUGUCCAUCAUAUUUGAGAAGUCGUGGCAGUCACGAGGGCAACAAAGAUACUUUGAGGUCUGGAGCACCUCUCCUGUGAAGACAGACAGAGAGAGUUGGGGUUGUUCAGCCUGGAGAAGGCUCCACGGAGACCUUGUAGCAGCCUUCCAGUACUUAAACGGGCCCUAUAAGAAAGGCGGUGAGGAACUUUUUAUAAGGCCAUGUAGUGACAGGACAAAGGGGAAUGGCUUUAAACUGAAAGAGGAGAAAUUUAGAUUAGAUCUUAUGAAAAAAAUAUUUACUAUGAGGGUGGUGAGACAUUGGCAGAGGUUGCCCAGAGAAGCUGUGGCUGCCCCAUCCCUGGAAGUGUUCAAGGCCAGGCUGGAUGGGGCUUUGAGCAACCUGGUUUAGUGGAAGGUGCCCCUGCCUCUGUCAGGGGGGUUGAAACUACAUGGUCUUUGUGGUCCCUUCAACCCAAACCAUUCUGUGAUUCCAUGAUGAUUUUACAGUUCGGGAUAUUGGUCUUGUCAGUGACACCAACCCUGUAGAAACCAAGGGAAAUUAGAGUCUUUUUUUUCCUCCUUUUUAAAUGAAAUUGUUUGGCUGAUGUGUUCAAUUAGCAUUGGUCCAAUUACAAGAUACCCCAGUGAAGGAAAGCAGGAAGCAAUACAUCUUGCUUCCUAAGUAGACAUUUCAUUUUAUUUUUAAUCAGUGCUAUUAAGGAAGUCUUCCUUGGGGAGUAGGCUUCACUGAGGGUUUGUUCAUUAUCAGCUUAAGGUGACGCCAGAGGGAACCUUACUUAUUUCAUACCAGAAUUGAUUUAAAAAAAAUAAAUAACAAGUGCAUGCACAGGGGGUUGGUGCAUGUAUUUAGAAGUGGAGUUGCCAUUGGUAACACAGCUGAUUUCCUUUGUUAGAAGGGUCAUUGUUCAUUACUUACCUGAAGCAAAAGGUUAAUGGCCUGUAGCGAUCUGAAGAAACCACUACCAAAAUGCACAGCAAGGAUCUAAUGUUGUUAUACAGUAGUGCUUUCCACAUACUUCUUCUCAGAAACUUGGACACUUCAGAGACAUCAAUUAGCUGCCUCACUGAGAUGCACCUGUGAUGUAGGAUUUAGCCAAGUCACUCAGCAGCUCAGGGAAGAAAAUGCAGGAUAUGUGUUUCAAACCAAAGAAUAUCAUGAGAUUAGGCUGCAACCAUCAGUUGGUAGUUGAAGAAAAACUCCAAGUUGGCACUGCCUCUGGAAACUACAGUCUUGGCUGGUCCCUUGUGUGGGUAAAAGUAGUUGGUGUGGUAUAUGGGAAACGGCGAUCAGGCUGGCUAGGGAGCAGUUUUUUCCAGGGAAGUACCAGAGUGGUGUUGGUGGUUAACCUGGCCACUUUCCCAGUCACUUCCCUAAACAACUGUACAGAUGUAGGCGUCAGCAGGAGCAGAAUGGGGAGAAAAAAAUGCAGGAAGAGGCAUGACUGCUUUUUUUGAGUGACAGUGAUAGCCAGUAAUGGGAGAAAAGUCAGCUAAACCUUGUGAGUGGGGACAGCUUAAGGGCUGUCAUUUCUCAGAUUUAAAGACGAUAACGGCCAAGUGGUACCCAGUGCUUCUGAGUAAUAAUUCUGCCAGGACUAACUUGAAAUGAGUGAUGCCACAUAUUUAAUAAUUAGAAACUGUUCUUGCAGCACUCAUGCUGACCAUUCUCAACUGGGCCAUAGCUUGAGAGGAGAUAACCUUGUAUAUUAAAUAUGUAUCAGCAGCUUCAAUUUAUUUAGAGCCAGAUGCUGCCAAAAUGUCAUUUCUGUCAAUGAUAUUAACAUAGGUAUUGGAAUACUGUAUGAAAUUUCUUUUUAAUCUGCCCCUAAAUGCCAAUAGCUGAAUGCUACUAUAGAUCACAGUCUGCUGAACCUAAAAUUAUUGCUUGAGUCUAACUUUUCCACAUUGAAUAAAAACUUUUAGAAAGUACAGAUCUUUACCUUGUUUUAUUUGAGUGAUUUUUGAUAAACUUGCAGAUUUUAUUUUGAGGGUUGAAGUACACAUCUUAUCCAGGGAAUUGUGAGGAAAACUGCAGGCUUGUUCAGCACUAUUGCAGCUCACAAAUACAUCUCUAUCCAAGAAAUGAAAUGCAGUGUUUGUGUGUGACAGUUGCAUUGUCCAGAAUUGCCCUUCAGCUGUAUAUGUUAGUUGUGGGUUUAGCUGUUUUUCUUUAAAGGAACUGCAUAAAAGAGAAGAACAAAUCACUUUAUUUUCCAUACGUACCCUUAAGUCUUUUCCUUCUAAGUAAUCCUUUUCUACUGCAGUGAAUAAUUUGUCAGUCGCAUUGCUGUUACCUGUGAGUUAUCCUUCAUUUGACUUGUCGGUUUGCAGCAGCCUUUCUCUAAUUGUGUAUGCCAAUUAAUUUGGGUGCACUACCUCAGAUAAUACUAGUUACCUCCAUAAAGGUGUUUGCUUCUAAUUUUUCCCUUAUUUAGUUUGCAUGCUGUCUGUUUUGCUCAACUGGGGAGGAAUGCAGAGAAGGAGGAAAAGCAGUAGUAUAUCACUAAUUGGAACAAGACUUGACAGCAAGUUACAUAUUAAUAGAGAAUAAUACUAUUUAACCACAAGAACCUGUUUCAGAGAGAAACUUCUACAACGUUUUCUGAAUCUUUCUGGAAGCACUGCAGCUUGAACUGUUGCUUUUCACUCUGAACUUGCAGGUUGUAUAUUGUGCCCCUGCUUUUUGUACUAGGAGUUAGAAUAGUCUCUAUUAUGAAUAGAUUCAAUAUUGUAAAUACUAUAAAUGUAGAUUUUCUGUCUGUUUUGGAAGGUCUUGUGGCACUUCUGUUUAUGUGCUUGAGGCCAUAGUUUGAUUAACAAUCAAAAUAAGGAGCUCCUCACCUUUUUUUGUGAUAGUGUCUCAAUUUAGGAAGCCAAAACAGUGACCUAAAUCAACAAAGCUUAUCCAGCUGAAAAGUACCUUAUUUUAUCACUGUGAAAGUGGUAUCAUUCACUCACCAGGUUUGGUUUUUUUUUGUUAGAAAGUUAUAUAUUGCUCACAUCAUGGCCAUGAAAGUAUUUAUAAUAAUAAUUAAGGAAUAAUGGGUGGUGACAGGACUUGCUGAAGCUGGUACAAGCAGCAUGGCCACCAAAUAGGUGUGGGCUCAAACAUCACCAUCCCCAAAAGAUAGUCUGUCUGGGGAACUGAAAAAAGAAAAAAAGAGAAAAUGUCUGCAUUAAUGCAUAGAGCAUAUCUGCAGAAACAUAUAGGUAAAGCAAAAUACUUUGUCUCAAGAACCUGAUGUCUGCUCUGUAUAUACUUUGGGAUUUAGUUUUUUCUGUGAACUAGCCCUGGUCUAGUCCCAAGAGUGUAAUGCUCAGUUACUGCUGGAGCACACUCAGCAUUGUUCUGGAGAUCUCCCAAGUAAUUUAGUCAGAGCAGAAUCCAGCCCAUGCAUUCUGAGAUGCUGGGCCAUGAUGUGGAGCAAAGUUUGGAGGAUGAAGAAAUUCACUCUAUAAGUGUGCUACAUCUGCAAAGUAAAACCUCAGUAUAGAUGCAGUCCAGAAGACUUACUUGUCCAUAAUGACAAGAGCAUGUGGUCAAAGAAUUAAUGAUGGCCUUCAGAGUUAUAUCAUUGUAAUACAACUUUAGGCAUGCUUCCUUCUGAAUUCCCUUUAUUACUGAGAGAAACCUUAAGGUAGAAUAGGAUUGCUUAAUAAUUACCAGGCUCUAGGUAUAUAGACUGUAUAUGCACUGCAUUGUGCUUCUGCCAAUGUGAGGGUUCAGCAGUUAGUACCUGUGACACCACUGCUAUGUUUAAUUAGUGUAUUGAUAGUAAGAAGCAUGUAAUGGCAUAAAGCACUGGGACUUUCAUUACAGUUUUGGCAAAACUGAGCUGAAAGAAAAAGCAGCACAGAUGGCUGAAAAUAGUAGUAAAAUGUUCCAUUUCAUGUCUGCAGAAAUCAUUAGACAGCACUUAAAGAGGUGUUAUUAAUGCGUCACAUUCACUCGGGGAGUUGUAUUUCUGUAAUGUUCACUAAAACAAUGAUAUUUCUAUUUUUGUUUUUAAGUGGAGCCUUUGCCAAGUGCAGACGUGUUUCUCUGCAGCCAUGAAAUGGAUUUAUCCACUAUAAGGAAGAUGCAGAUUCUCUCAGUGUCUUCUAUUUUAUUCCUGCCAGCUCAGCACCGUAAGCAAGCAGGAGCAUAGCUGUAAUCUUUUGUCCACCAUUGACAAAAUUAGGUCUUACCAAUCGUAAGGAGUAACCACAAAAGUAGCAUGUUGGUUUCCUAUUGACAGUAAAUGUAGAUGACAGUUUUCAUAUAGUAAAUCAGAAGAUCAGAUGUGACCUACUUCCCAUGACAUGUAACACAAAAUCAACUUAAGUGCAACGUUUUGUAGUAAGCAAACCUUUGAAACUUUCUGCAAGACUUUAGGAGGAUUCUGAACAAGACUGUUUUUAGAGCACAGUACAUAUGAUUAGCCAGUGUUUCAUCAUGGGUACUGAAUGCUUCUUACAUCACUGCAAGAAACGAAGCAAAAAUCUGUCAGCUCUUUUGGCUGCCGAGUUGAAAAGCAUGGCUUUACCACAGUGUGUGACAAAGUUGCACAGCACUGAUUUGCUCUGUAAUCACAUUUUCUCUGGAAUGCUAACAAAAUCAUUUACAAGCAUUACUGGAGUAAUACAGGAUCAUUUAUUGAUCUCAGGUCUCCAUGAAGAGCCAUGGUCUUAUUGGUUCAUCUGCCAUUUACAAGCCUCUAUCUUGCUCUUAAAACCCCUUUUACUGGUACAGUUUGGUAGUUUCUGUUUGGUUUAUAGGUGUAUUUCCUUGUUCUUCAGUGGCAGAGAGGUAAACAGGUGUGAAUAGGUAAGCUCAUAAAUCUGAAAAUUUCCAUGUGAAUUCAGUCUCUCCAAUUAAAUUUAUUUUCUGGAUACAUGGAUACUUCUGAGCUUGCUCAGGAAGACAGUUUAUCUUGAGCUGAAGCAGCCUCUGUGUUUCCAAGAUAGAACAGUUUGAAUUAUCUGUUUUAAACUCUUUUAUCUCUCAUAUUUAAUCAAGAAAUCAUACAACCAAAUCAAAAAAAUAUCCCAUACAUGAAAUUUGAUCCCGCCUAAAGCACAUGGAAAUUCUGCUAAUGAAUUCAGCAAGAACAGGAUUUAACUCCUGCCUUUUCCCCCACUACGUCUAUAGAACAAGACUCUUCCUGAAAAGUACAUCCAUUAUAAUAACAAAUAUACAGAUCCAUGCAUUCGGUGUUUAGUAAGGCUAAAUGACCAUCGUUAACUGUUCUUAUUUGACCUACAAAAUGUUGUCUCCCCACUUGCUUUUCCUACUAAGCUGUACCGCUGUUAUUUUUGCCCAUGUGCUGGAAGCUUGGCCGUGCAGCCACAACUCCAUUUAUAUAUUAUAUCUGGCAGGUUUCAGUGCCAGUGGCUGUGUGAUGAGACCUUGGUAACUAGAAGUAAACUGAUCUAAUGCUACGCCUUGUACCUCCUAGGACAGAAAUGCUGUGGUUUUCCUCAGUUUGUAUGAAUGCAUUGUGUGCUGCUUCUUUUAGAAAGAGCUUGUUAGGAGGGAAAAAAAAAAGAAAUAAGAGUUCUUGGAAAGAUUUGUAUGUUUGUGCCUCUGUACUGGCCCUGAGUGAAAUAUGUGCUGAGUUUCAGUCAAAGGCUUACUUGUAUUUGGUGUGAAUUUCAAUCUGUUUCUAAUGGAUGCAGAACUGAGAAGGCAGUUUUCUCAAGUAAUCUCAGGAGUUUGAGAAUAAUGUUUGUGUUAAUAAAGACAAACUGAAGCUGAAACACAGGUUUUGAGUUUUUACAUGGCUCCAAAGGACUCUUGCAUGUUGAUUCGUAUAAAUUUUAAAUAAGAAACGUGUUAAGUAAUGAGCAUUUAAAUUUCAAAGUGAUUGUACCUGAAAAGCUCUGUCAUCUCUUUCACUUACUCUCAAUUAUCUCAGUAAGUGGCUGAGGUAGUAUCUACUAUUUUCAGAUACUUUGGAAAGCAUCAUCACAAGUUUUGUUUGGAUGCCUUACACACACACUUUGGAGAGUUCAGUAUCACUGUUGAGGAAUGCACUUUCUUGUGGUUUACAUUCAUUAAUUUUUCAGAAAUAUGUAUGUUCAUCCUCUGGUAUGAAGGAAUUUUUUACUACAGUUAUGUUGCCCUUGCAAAAAAUAUAUGUAUUUUUUCAAAUCAUCUUAGGAGAUUGGAUUCCUAUUUCCUAACUAGUACAAGCUUCAAACAAGUGUUACCUUUUUUUCCCCAUAGUUAAAACAACUGUGUUACAUUUGCAAAUCAGUGGCUUUAAAUCUUUUUUAAGAGCAGAUCUGUGCUAGAUGCUUCAGCGUUUUGUUUAAGUUGCUGCCUUUUGUGCAGUACUGAAGCUGAUGCUUUACAGGUAUGCACUGGCAAUCAGUAACUGCAAUGUUGCUAUUUUUGGAGUGUCAAAUUCUGUGCAUCAUUGUCCAGCAUCUCUUUUUAAUUUGUUCUGGAUAAAGGGUUUACAUUGUAGGUGAAGAGGUUAAAAGUGAUACUUACAUUUUUUAUGUUGAUUCACUUGGCAAUUUGCCAAGUAAGUUCCUCUCCACUACUCUCUGCUCAGUAUCUGCUUCUCAGUAUUCACAAGUGGAAGUUUUAUACAUUGGCAUACUUGUAAAUAAAGUUUAUAAUGUCAUUUCACUAGCAGUGUCUACAUUUUGUAGGUAGUCAAAGCAAGAGAAAACACAUUGUGCAGCCAGUUCCCAUUGCAAACAAUCUAGUCUAAGCAAUAAUUUUGGAGGAGCAGGGUUGGAGAGCCCAUCCUUUUGAACUCCAUAGCACUUGCAAGGGGUUCAGGCACGACUCAUGACGUGCAACCAGCAACACAUUUUAUCAAAACCAGGGAUUCUGGGUAAGCCAACAAACCCCUAGGACUUGUGAAGCUUGUUCAAGGAUGGAGUUGAAUCUCAGCUUUGUUCAGCCUAAUAUACAGUGUGUGCAUCUACUAGCUCCUUAGCUGCAGAGUCUUGUAGGACUGAGCGCAUUGGCUACCACACCUGUACAAAAUGCCCAACUGUUUGGCUUUUAGCAAACUGAGCAUCAUAGCUGGAGAGACAUGUAAACAAAAAUAUGAGAAGUUAGUGAUAGCCGAUAACAUCUUACUUUCAGGUAAUCUGUGAUUCUCUGUACUUCUUCCAAUAACGUGUUUUUCAUUUGUUCUGUGCAUACUCUUUUAACUUUUUACAGUUUACAAGUUGAUAUUCACACAAUUAAGGGGGAAAUUACCAAUGGAUACUUCCAAAAUGUUUCAAGUGACAUAGAGGUGGUAAACAAAAAACAGCUAACCUAUUUCUUUCCUGCUUCACCCCAGAAAAGAUGAAGCAGUUAAUACCAUCAGGUUGCCCAGGGACAGUAUCACAUUUCAUACAGUAUUGUUUUCUUCUUUGUCUUUGGGACCUUCUGCAUGUAAAUUCAUCAUCUUCUACUGCAAGUUUUAAGUCCAGAUAUUUUGUCAGUACAUCUUUCUACUCCCACUGUUCUAGUUUCGCCGUUCUAAAUAUUUUCUGCUACCUCAUGUCUGUGAAUAUAGUCUAAUGUGAAGGUCUGUUCUGCAUCUGAUCCAACCUGUAUCACCUAGUCCUCAUACCAAUUCCCAACUGUUACUCAGUUUCUAAUUUUUGCUGUGAAACCCAAACAUGUACAAGCUAUUUCUGUGACUUUUUUUACAGAAGUUUACAAAAAUUGGCAAGUAGGAAAGUACAAUAAAGAAUUCCCUUUUCCUCCAAGACUGUUUCAGUCCAAAGGGCAGUAAAAAACACUAUGAAAAGCAUUCUUAUUUUUAUGGCUGUACAGGAUUUAUAAUCUGAUAGUUGGAUGUCAUUAUAAAAAAAGGUGAAAAACAAAGCAGGGAAUAGGCAUCAGUGAGGAUUGGUUGCUUGGUUAGAGGGUUUGGAGUUUCAUGGAAAAGCUUGUGAAACUAGAAGAUGACCCCAAACUCCAGUGGAUCAUUUUUAAAAAUGUAAAGUACUUGAUCUUUCUGUCCUUAACGUUUCUUCUUUUGAAGUAUUGAGAUGACGGUGACUAUGAUCUUGUCCUUUCUUUCUUUCAUUCUUUCUUUUUUUCCCACUUGUUGUAGUUCGUUGUCAAAAAUGUCAAGUGUUCAAAAACUGAUGUGUCUGUGUGCAUUUCUUGUGUGAUCCUUUCAAGGACAAGAAUGAAAUUCACAGCACUUUUGCUGAGGUGGAUUUCCAAUGAGAAUGUGGAUCAGAGCCCAGCAAAUAGCAGUCCUCAUAAACAAGCUUUCUGUCUUUUUAAGAACCAGGCUUUAACCGUGAAGACACUAAUAGCCAUUUUGCUAUUAAUCUUGUGUACGAUACAAAGGCUUGGCACCAAAAAGCCUAGAAACUGGCCUCCAAAAAGCAAGCAUGUCUUAUGCUGUCUUCCAUUGUUAAUGUUAAUAAAUGCUGCCUCUGGGUUCACCUAUGGUAGAAAUCCUCUUAUUUCAUCUGGGGAAGGACUUUUAGAAGGGCCUGUUGUGGUAGGACAGUGGGUAAUAGUUUUAAUCUAAAAGACAGGAGAUUCAGGAUGAGUGUGAGGAAAAGAUUCGUUACAAUGCGGGUGGUAAAACACUGGCACAGGUUGCCCAGAGAAGGGGUAGAUGUGCCAACCCUGGAGGCAUUCAAGGCCAGGGUGGAUGUGGUUCUGAGCAACCUAUCUAGCUGAAGAUGUCCCUGCUUGUUGCAGGAAGAUUGGACUAGAUGACCUUUGAAGGUCCCUUCCAACCCAAGCCAUUCUGUGACUCUACUAUGAUCUACGCUUAGCAAGAAUGGGUGAAGUUCAUUGUCAACAAACUAAAGCAACAGCAGCUGUUAUGAAUUAAAUUCAUUUCAGAAAGGUAUUUCUUAACUAAAUACCAGUGAACAUAACAUUCAACCGUGUUGCGAAACUGAUGAUAAUCCUUUGUUCAGUCAUAUAAAAGCUCCCUGUUCCCUCUACUUAACAGAACAGGGUCAACCAUAGAGUAAGAGAAGUACAUGAUGUGAUCUUGACGGAUCUUAAAGUGUCAUAACUUAUGCAAGAAGUUUUCUUCUAAACUGACUAGGUGUUCCAAAGUAGUGGGAACUGGAUUGUAAUGAUAUUAUUAUAUAAGCUGUUCCUUAUGUGACCACAUAACAGAUCCUCUUCCACACCAACAUUUCUAAUAUUUAGAGGCUAUGGGUGGCAGUUAAACAUACAUCCUAAGUUUUGGUGGCACAGGUGGAAAGGUGUAGUCAUUUAGGCCUGCACAAUGUUAGAUCAGAGAGAAAAGUGCAGACAGAAAUAAAACUUACAUCCUAACAUGCCCUUUAUUUUCUCAUAAGGAAAUAAUGCUGCUAAAUCUUGCUGCAAAUUUUACUGUAGAACAGUGGAAUACAGUACAGUGUGCAUCCAAACAAGCUCAAAAGGAGCCAUGCUAAUUUUAGUCAGUGGUGGCUCAGAAAGUCAAAUCUUAGCAAUAAUGUAUAGAAGAGCACCCACUCACCGCCACCUCUUUUUCUCCAUAUGAAAAGCUGGUUUAGAUGAGGUUCUGUUACAGUAUUUAAUACAUGGAGUUCACAGUUUGAAUAUGUGCAGAAUUAGUUUGUUUUCAUGGAUCACAAAUGUUUUUAAUAAAUAUUCCAGGCUUGAUACUGCUGGAGUGUGUUUUUACCAUACACUUUAUGUUGGGGAGUUGCCUAGCAAGGUCAAAGAAAUGAAAAUAUUUGCUCUGGCAUUCAAGCAAGUUCUAAAAGAGCUUAGGCAAUAUUUCUGCUACAGAAAAUGUCCUUUUAGACCUGCCCAAGUUCUGCUCUAAUUUGUUAAUGUAAUUUUUCUAAAAUAAAAUACAGAAGAGUCCCUUGAUUGUGCCUUGCUUCUCCUUCCAUGCUGAAAUAGAAUUCUUUUGUGAGAUA
Long non-coding RNA from Pezoporus occidentalis (night parrot), 15045 nucleotides. RefSeq lists it as uncharacterized. The transcript is spliced from 2 exons. NCBI's taxonomy places the organism in Eukaryota, Metazoa, Chordata, Aves, Psittaciformes, Psittacidae. The record is from RefSeq and is a predicted model, not a curated record.